CGAAAGCUUCCGAGAGCUGCGACAUGUCCCUGGUGAUCAGGUUUUUAAGAAGAAAGAAAACCAUUUGAUCUGGCCAAUUUCAACAUGAUUCGGAGUUCUUCUUCAAAAAUACAAGUGUUUUUAAGAAGAAAGAAAACCAUUUGAUCUGGCCAAUUUCAACAUGAUUCGGAAUUCUUCUUCAAAAAUACAAGUGUUUUUAAGAAGAAAGAAAACCAUUUGAUCUGGCCAAUUUCAACAUGAUUCGGAGUUCUUCUUCAAAAAUACAAGUGUUUUUAAGAAGAAAGAAAACCAUUUGAUCUGGCCAAUUUCAACAUGAUUCGGAGUUCUUCUUCAAAAAUACAAGUGUUUUUAAGAAGAAAGAAAACCAUUUGAUCUGGCCAAUUUCAACAUGAUUCGGAGUUCUUCUUCAAAAAUACAAGUGGUAUGUUGUUAAUAUUAAAUGCUGGCUACAAAUUUUUAUUGUUACGACUUUCAUGGGAUGGAUCUGCAUGUUCAAUAUUUGAACCAAACUGAAAGUGAAAAAACAUAAAAAUGAAAACAUUUGAAUAGUCAUAAUUUUUAACAAUUGAUAAUAUUACAAUUGUAUCGGGAUGAGCCAACUGAUAUUACGAUUUAACUAAUCUAGUUGCGUGUCUUGUAUAAAAUUUAAGUUCAAUCGUUGUAGAUAGUUUUUAUUAUAAUAGGGGGAUGAUACCUAAGCACAGAAUACCUGUUAGAAAGAUAAGUCAUGCUUUUUUUCGUAAUACGCGAUUGGCAGAUUGCCUCUCUUUACAGUACUUGCUUAGUGACGAAUCAUACUUACGGAAAAGAAGUAAAAAAAGAGUUAUUCUUCUGAUCAGUAUUUUGUGACCUAAGCAACCAGAGGUUUGUCCCAGUUCAAACGUUUUAGAGAACUAGGUUAGCUUGGUGCAUAUUAUACGUACGUAUAAGAAAAACGGGGUGUCCCGGGGGGUAAAUUGCCAAAACAAAACCCAAACCACGGAAAAGCAAUGGUUAAAAAUUUACGGUAACGAGUCAGACAAUAUUUUUCUGAAUAUUUUUUUGAACUUAGCAAAAGUGGUAGCAACAUUUUCCUACUUAAAAUACAAUAACACAAGUCUAAUAGACCUAGGCUUUAUAUUAAAUUUUUUUUUAUAUAGGAUAUAAACAUGAACUUAAGACCAACAUUAUAAAUAAAUUUAAAAGAUGUACGUUUUUUUAGGCAAAUUAUUAAUAAAAGAUUUGCAAUUUACACAAUUAUUUUGCGGGAUCAUUUUUAUUCUUUUCAUCGGAAGUAUUUUAGCUAUUUCUUCAUUCAGCUGUUACAUAUUUUAACGAAAAAUUCCUGAAAAAUGAAAAUCGAGACUGUGGUACUAUGGCGUGACAUUUUAUAUUUUACAGUGUGAUAAAAACUCGUAGGAAUGACUUUCUGGGGACCUGGGGGUAAGUCCCCACAAUGUGAAAGUUCUUGCACAAGUCCUCACAAUGCUCCGUGCAUUUUUUACACAGCGUGUGUACUAAACUUGCGUAAUUGCUUUGUGGGGACUUCGGUAAAUUCUACAUCAACGUUUGGUACGUUGGCUAAUUUUCUUAUUUUUUAUUUCCAAAUUAAAAAUUGGAAGAAAAUAUAUGCAUUAAUGUAUUAGUAACAUCAUUGCAGAAGCUUCUUUGGUCUAUUCUUUGAGAAAAUAGUGGUAAAACAUUGUGGGGACUUGGCUCAGGUCCCCACAAUGCAGCAAGUCCCCACAACGUUUAGGUGGAACCUGCACAGGUCCC
Long non-coding RNA from Dendronephthya gigantea, 1755 nucleotides. RefSeq lists it as uncharacterized. The transcript has 6 exons. The record is from RefSeq and is a predicted model, not a curated record. Lineage: Eukaryota; Metazoa; Cnidaria; Anthozoa; Malacalcyonacea; Nephtheidae.